Molecule: ribosomal RNA, 253 nt
Filed under: uncultured bacterium
Lineage: Bacteria
Description: partial 16S ribosomal RNA
Rfam family: Bacterial small subunit ribosomal RNA
Source: RNAcentral
UACGAAGGGUGCAAGCGUUAGUCGGAAUUACUGGGCGUAAAGCGUGCGUAGGUGGUUUCUUAAGUCGGAUGUGAAAGCCCUGGGCUCAACCUGGGAAUGGCACUCGAUACUGGGAAGCUAGAGUGCGGUAGAGGAGGGUGGAAUUCCCGGUGUAGCGGUGAAAUGCGUAGAGAUCGGGAGGAACAUCAGUGGCGAAGGCGGCUUUCUGGACAGAUACCGACGCUGAGGCACGAAAGCUAGGGGAGCAAACAGG